RNAcentral lists this ribosomal RNA (253 nucleotides) under uncultured bacterium. RNAcentral's name for it is "partial 16S ribosomal RNA". It matches the Rfam family "Bacterial small subunit ribosomal RNA", at positions 524 to 776 of the family's 1533-position model. The record is from RNAcentral.
UACGGGGGGGGCAAGCGUUGUUCGGAAUUACUGGGCGUAAAGGGCGCGUAGGCGGGUGGACAAGUCUCUCGUGAAAGGACACGGCUGAACCGUGGAAUUGCGGGAGAUACUGUCUGUCUUGAGUCCGGGAGAGGAGGGUGGAAUUCCCAGUGUAGCGGUGAAAUGCGUAGAUAUUUGGAGGAACACCGGUGGCGAAGGCGGCUCUCUGGACCGGUACUGACGCUGAGGCGCGAAAGCUAGGGGAGCAAACGGG